This 906-nucleotide long non-coding RNA is filed under the name Mytilus galloprovincialis (Mediterranean mussel). Lineage: Eukaryota; Metazoa; Mollusca; Bivalvia; Mytilida; Mytilidae. The record is from RNAcentral.
CAGAAAUCAGGCAAAUUAUCAAACUUCGAAUUCAAACUUCGACAACCUCAAUUACCUGCAUUUUGUGUUUUGAAUGAGAUACCAAAAGAUCGUUGUAUGAAACUGGAAGGAGACGAAGGUAAAUUUGUAUGUGUAAACUACAAAUCAGAUAUUGACAGAAUUGGGGAUGACUUUAGAUUUGAUUUACAGAGGUGUAAUCACAAACGUAUCCAUAACUGUUGUGCGAUUAUCUGAAAUUGUAUAUACACAUUAUGAUAUACUAGUAUAUAUUAUUAUAUUAUGUUAUUACGUAUUGCCGUUGGCCGUAAAUAAUGUCAUAUUACCUAUUCCUGUUGGAACCAUAUAUUCCGUUAGGAACAUAUACUGUAAUAUUUAUUCCUGUGGAAAUAAUAUUCCAGAAUAGUUCUUUCUUUUGAAACUUAUAUUAUGAAGGAAUUUCCAUUCCGUGACAGGACAAUUAACCUAUGAAUUGUUAAAUUUAUAUAUAGUGUAGGUUAUACUCGUAAAGAUGUUUAUUUAGAUAUGUGUAAAUGCUACACCAAAUGUUUUUUUUAAAAUGUGAGCCCAAUGUAACAAAAGUUAGUAUUUGUUGUGAUUUUUUUAGGGUAUUUUUUUCUUAUGUAGUUCGUUGGGAAAGAUCAGUUCUGUAUUAAUUAAAAUCAUUAUAUCGACAAACAUUCAGUUGGCCAAGGACGUAUAACUAACAUCUAAUAUACGUCUUAGGCUUGGGUUGGCAGAUAACGAAUAUACUGAUGAUUUAAAUAGCAAGUCAUUUCGUACCCUGACCAUUUCGUACAUCUGUCAUUUCGUACCUAAAUUUACCAAAUCGUACCCACGAUAAUAUUCAUUUCGUACCAUAUGGGCCAAAUGUAUCUACCCUUUCGUACCUUAUGGAUUUAUUACACG